This 647-nucleotide long non-coding RNA is filed under the name Phaseolus vulgaris (common bean). RNAcentral's name for it is "long non-coding RNA (PVUL_LNC000413)". Lineage: Eukaryota; Viridiplantae; Streptophyta; Magnoliopsida; Fabales; Fabaceae. The record is from RNAcentral.
GCAAAAAACUUUGGCCAGCUUAUUGGGCCAUAAAAUUAGAAAAAGUGAUUGGGGUGUCUAAAUUAAAUAAAGGCUGCAGAGAGUAAAAACUUUGGGCAGCUUAUUGGGCCAUAAAAUUAGAAAAAGUGAUGUUGGGGUGUCUAAAUUAAAUCAAGGCUGCAGAGAGUAAAAACUUUGGGCAGCAUAUUGGGCCAGAAAAUUAGAAAAAAGUGAUGUGGGGUGUGUAAAUUAAAUAAAGGCUGCAGAGAGUAAAAACUUUGGGAAGCAUAUUGGGCCAGAAAAUUAGAAAAAAGUGAUGUCGGGUGUGUAAAUUAAAUAAGGGCUGCAGAGAGUAAAAACUUUGGGCACCUUAUUGGGCCAUAAAAUUAGAAAAAGUGAUGUGGGGUGUCUAAAUUAAAUAAAGGCUGCAGAGAGUAAAAACUUUGGGCAGCAUAUUGGGCCAGAAAAUUAGAAAAAAGUGAUGUGGGGUGUGUAAAUUAAAUAAAGGCUGCAGAGAGUAAAAACUUUGGGCAGCAUAUUGGGCCAGAAAAUUAGAAAAAAGUGAUGCGUCAAGCGUGACACUAAUGGUAGGGUCAUCAUCCGACUUCUUGGAAGAGGGUAAGUCAUCCUAAAUGUACAUUUAAUUUUAUCUUUAUAUUACUAUGCUU